GACGGAGGGCGCGGGCGUUAUUCGUUAUGAUUGGGUGUAAAGGGUACGUAGGCUGCUGUUGAUAAUUUUUGGCUAAAAACGCGGAGUGUUCCUACGCGACAGCCUUUUAUAGAUUCAGCUAGUGUUGGAAAUAGGUUAGGGCAAUUUCUUAUGUAGGGGUAAAAUCCUACGAGAUAAGAACGAAGACCAGAUGGCGAAGGCGCCUUUCUAGUUCCAACAGACGCUAAGGUACGGAAGCCUAGGGAGCAAACAGA
Molecule: ribosomal RNA, 254 nt
Filed under: uncultured bacterium
Lineage: Bacteria
Description: partial 16S ribosomal RNA
Rfam family: Bacterial small subunit ribosomal RNA
Source: RNAcentral